This 112-nucleotide ribosomal RNA is filed under the name Escherichia coli. RNAcentral describes it as "partial 16S ribosomal RNA". It matches the Rfam family "Bacterial small subunit ribosomal RNA", at positions 1 to 105 of the family's 1533-position model. Lineage: Bacteria; Pseudomonadati; Pseudomonadota; Gammaproteobacteria; Enterobacterales; Enterobacteriaceae. RNAcentral also lists the same sequence under 1 other name. The record is from RNAcentral.
AAAUUGAAGAGUUUGAUCAUGGCUCAGAUUGAACGCUGGCGGCAGGCCUAACACAUGCAAGUCGAACGGUAACAGGAAGAAGCUUGCUUCUUUGCUGACGAGUGGCGGACGG